UGGACCGAGUGAGCUCUCAGCUGUUC
RNAcentral lists this non-coding RNA (26 nucleotides) under Mus musculus (house mouse). The record is from RNAcentral. Lineage: Eukaryota; Metazoa; Chordata; Mammalia; Rodentia; Muridae.